This 429-nucleotide ribosomal RNA is filed under the name Pseudomonadota bacterium. RNAcentral describes it as "Proteobacteria bacterium partial 16S ribosomal RNA". It matches the Rfam family "Bacterial small subunit ribosomal RNA", at positions 355 to 776 of the family's 1533-position model. Lineage: Bacteria; Pseudomonadati; Pseudomonadota. The record is from RNAcentral.
UGGGGAAUUUUGGACAAUGGGCGAAAGCCUGAUCCAGCCACGCCGCGUGUGGGAAGAAGGUCUUCGGAUUGUAAAGCACUUUAAGGUGGGAGGAAGGGCAGUAAGCGAAUACCUUGCUGUUUUGACGUUACCGACAGAAUAAGCACCGGUUAACCCUGUGCCAGCAGCCGCGGUAAUACAGAGGGUGCAAGCGUUAAUCGGAAUUACUGGGCGUAAAGCGGGCGUAGGUGGUUCGUUAAGUUGAAUGUGAAAGCCCCGGGCUCAACCUGGGAAAGGCGUCCGAAACUGGCGGGCUAGAGUAGAGCAGGGGGUGGUGGAAUUUCCUGUGUAGCGGUGAAAUGCGUAGAUAUAGGGAGGAACACCCGUGGCGAAAGCGAGCACCUGGGCUCUUACUGACACUGAGGUGCGAAAGCGUGGGGAGCGAAAAGG